This is a small nucleolar RNA of Cornus florida, 87 nucleotides long. RefSeq annotates it as small nucleolar RNA R44/J54/Z268 family. The transcript has a single exon. NCBI's taxonomy places the organism in Eukaryota, Viridiplantae, Streptophyta, Magnoliopsida, Cornales, Cornaceae. The record is from RefSeq and is a predicted model, not a curated record.
UUUGCAAGUGAUGAUAAAAUAGACAGGGACAUCAGAACUCCUAUGGAGAAUGAUAGACUUGGUCUUUGGGAAUCUCUCUGAUGCAUU